This 29-nucleotide non-coding RNA is filed under the name Rattus norvegicus (Norway rat). The record is from RNAcentral. Lineage: Eukaryota; Metazoa; Chordata; Mammalia; Rodentia; Muridae.
UCUAUCUUUGCAUGAUUCUCAUUGGUGGU